UUUAAAUCCGAUAACCUGGAUUAACAAUAGAAAUUCCCUGAUUAUUAUUUCAGAAUAAUAAUUCAUGCAUAAGGAUCAUGCAUAGUUAAAUACACAUUCUCAUUUGAGGAUUUUUAUUCGAGCAAAUAUCUUAUAUAUGUACAUAUAUUCUCGUAAUAAAGGUCAAGGGCGAGAUUGACAAUCUAUUGAGGAGCUUCUGUACCACAAAAAGUUUCUAACAGGUUGAGCAGCUGCCGAUGGUGAUGAAGUGACGAGCGGGAUUCUUUUGUCUUAUUAUGUAUUAAUGAACUCUAGGGUUACAUGUCUUCAUACAUGUAAUCAGAAUCAUAUUCCGCUGCGUACUCAGAAGUUUUAUGUUUAUUUGGCUAAGUCAGAGAUAUCUGAACUUACUAGUUAUUUGAGUCUAUACGACUAAACUUCUGUUAUAUUAUAAAUAUUCCUUUUGUUAAAUUAUGAAA
This is a long non-coding RNA of Salvia miltiorrhiza (redroot sage), 458 nucleotides long. RefSeq lists it as uncharacterized. The record is from RefSeq and is a predicted model, not a curated record. The transcript is spliced from 2 exons. NCBI's taxonomy places the organism in Eukaryota, Viridiplantae, Streptophyta, Magnoliopsida, Lamiales, Lamiaceae.